RNAcentral lists this unclassified non-coding RNA (283 nucleotides) under Hevea brasiliensis (rubber tree). The record is from RNAcentral. Lineage: Eukaryota; Viridiplantae; Streptophyta; Magnoliopsida; Malpighiales; Euphorbiaceae.
GGCUUUGUUCAACUAGGUGCUUCUUAAUAUAUAAUGACAGUGAUAUGUAUCUCAAUAAAGUGUCCCUAAGUUGCAAAUCAAGCUUUAAUCAAUAUUUAUGGCUACCAAAAACAUGCAUCACAAGACUUUCAACUAAUUUCUCAUUUUACUCAUGAAUCUUCAAAUAUAUCAACUCAAUAUAUUCAAUCAACAUUCAAGGUCAUGUAUAAAAAUUAAAUUGCACAAAAGUAAAGAGUUUAAGGUUAGAGAGAUCAAAUAUAACGAUUUUUAUAGUGGUUCGGCU